AUAACAUUUGGACUGUCGGUGUACCGAGCAAUAUCAUCCGCUUGGCGAAAGAUCUUCCCUUUAUCGU
Molecule: microRNA precursor, 67 nt
Filed under: Bombyx mori (domestic silkworm)
Lineage: Eukaryota; Metazoa; Arthropoda; Insecta; Lepidoptera; Bombycidae
Description: mir-2774 microRNA precursor family
Rfam family: mir-2774 microRNA precursor family
Source: Rfam by way of RNAcentral